AGGAUUGAAGUUAUUAGAACCCUCCAGUUAGAAUUGAUAACCCCGCUAUUUAUCCCUCCCACAUCUGUGGAAUGGAAUGCUGGAAGCAGAGGGGAUGGAGGCAGCCGGAAAAGUAGGGGAGGUGGUGUGCGUGACGGGUUCUAGCGGUUUCAUCGGUUCCACUCUCGUCCGCCUCCUCCUCCGCCGGGGCUAUACCGUCCGCGGCACCGUCCAGAACCUCCAGAAUGAGAAGGAGACGAGGCAUCUAGAAGCAUUAGAGGGAGCAGAUUCGAGUUUGCGUCUCUACCAGAUCGAUCUACUAGACUACGACUCUAUCUUCUCCGCCAUAAAUGGCGUCGUUGGCGUCUUCCACCUUGCCUCUCCGUGCACCGUGGAUCAAGUUACCGACCCACAGAGGGAGCUUCUUGAACCAGCGAUACAAGGCACACUCAACGUCCUCAAAGCAGCGAAAGCGAGCGGCGUGAAGCGGGUCGUUGUGACUUCGUCCAUUUCGGCCAUAGUUCCGAGCCCUGGUUGGCCAGCGGACGUUGUUAAGGGAGAAGAUUGCUGGACCGACGUUGAGUACUGUAAGCAAAACGGGUUGUGGUAUUCAGCGUCGAAAACUCUAGCAGAAAAAGAGGCAUGGAGAUUUGCGAAAGAGACCGGACUGAAUGUGGUUGUGGUUAAUCCGGGGACCGUACUGGGUCCCAUUCUGCCUCCUGCCAUCAAUGCGAGCAUGGGAGUGCUUCUUGGUCUUCUUCAGGGAAACACUGAUCCGUACAAGGAUUUGCACAUGGGAUCUGUACAUGUGAAUGAUGUGGCUCUAGCACAUAUUUUAGUAUAUGAGAAUGCUUCUGCAUCAGGAAGGCAUCUUUGUGUUGAAUCUAUUACUCAUUAUAGUGACUUUGUGGAUAUGGUUGCCGGACUUUAUCCAGAAUAUAACUUGCCUAGGUUCACUGAGGAAACCCAGCCUGGGUUACUGAGGGCAAGUAAUGCAUCCAAAAGGCUGAUUGAUUUGGGAAUGGAGUUUGUUCCAUUAGAGCAAACCAUCAAGGACUCGAUCGUGUCACUUCGAGAGAAAGGAUUUUUGAAUUGAAAAAUGCUGCUCAGAAUAUAACAUGAUAUGGCAUGUUUUGUACGUUUUCAUGGCUUUCUGCAUCUAUAUUACUGUACCUAUUCCCGGCAUAAAAUGUUUUGCAGGCAGCCCGACGCAACGGACUGGCGGUCGAGGGCAUCCGAUGGAUGGCAACCGAGGCACCCAAUGUAAAGGGAGAUGGGCAGGGGGCUCAUUUUGGAAGAAUCUAAUAAACUGUUCAUAUUGUUGGACUUGCCUUUGAUCGUCCCUCAUCAGCAACCUGAAUUUAAUGAGCACAGUGAAUUCUCUGCAUUGGGUACAAGCAAGGACUAACUAUUUGUGAAGCGUUGGUCGACUAGAGUCUUUGAGAUCACGUCAUUCCUUUGAGGGUAUGUGUAACCAUCCGAGCGAACGGGCAGGAAGAUUCUCUUUGGAGGAAGUUUCCAGGUAAAGUCGGUCUUCGACUAAUGUUUCAUAAGUGGUUGGUCACUCCAAUAAAGUUUCUUGCAUAUUCCGCUGCUGGGGAAUACGUCCCCUAUUCUUAUUAACAAAAAUUGAUAUUUACAAAGAGACAAAAGACAGAAAGGGGAGCACGACGAACUUCAAGGCAUCGCAUUCCAAAGCAGUUUUGUCCCCAAUGGGCAAGGCUUCAACAAUAAAGCGAUUACGUCAACAGCAGGUCUAAAAUGCAUAAUCUGUAGGUACUUUCUGCAGCAGAAGAGACUAGAAUUUCUAGUCCCUAGCAUCAAAAGGGUGAUCCAGCAGCCUUAUGGUCUUGUCUCUCCAUCAUUUAGGGCCUAUCGUGAGACCAAUCCCACUCUUCAGCGCGGGAGAGCUGAAAAUGAUGUCUUUCAAAAUGUUGAGCCAAACAUGGGCGGAACAGUGGUUGUGAGCAGUCAGCCCCAAUUGCAUCACCUCAUUUUGGUUGUUGGAAAAGCCAACAGCUACGUUGAAACAGUCAGAUUGUUGAAGAAUUGCAAUGUGUACACACGUCUUGCAAGGAAAGAGGGCUCUACGAUCAUCAAUCAGCCUCAAUACCCGUGACAAACCAAAGAGUGGCCAUCCGGUGAGUAAGCCUGUUAGUAAACUGCUUGUCCCAGAGAAGCUAUAAGUCUUUCCAAAUGCUUUGAGCUAUUACAGCUGGAGCAGGGGUGGCUUCGCCGCGACGGAUCCUAUUGCGCACUUUUCAGAUGUAACCAAGAACCAUGGGAAGAGUUGCCUCUCAUAUCUCAGACUUCCAACCACGUCUGAAGCUGCUUUCCUUCCAUUUAGAAUGGUGGCGAUGAUCUCCGGUGCAACCUUGCAGGGGGAGAGGGCCCCCGAACCCUUUUAUUUCUCAAACAUAGAGGAACAGGAAUGGAGAAGAAUACACAGUUGAAAAAAGAUGCACAACAUGGGUUCCAUCCAAGACAAGCAUGAAGAGCUUGCACAAAAUGUGGUGACCCUGAACCAAAAUUUACCUCAUGUUUCUAACGGUCAGUGACUGUAACGUCUCUAACGCAGGGUUGCAUCGAAGAGAAGUCAUUCUGUGAGCAUUAGUCUUCAGCACGGAGUAUCCCCAACCAGCCUGCACAUGUCUGCUCAAUGCCCUUUGGAGCUGCAUCUUCCACCUGUGCAGAGCCGCCACUAUGGCUAUCGAGUCCUUUGAGUUUGGGAGAGAAAGCAAGAGGUCACUCAAAAUUUGUUCUGCUACCUAGAAGAGAUUUGGGCGAGUAAACUUGCCCCGCGCCGUAACAAUUUCACCUUUGCUGUUUUUGAUGACACCUAUGAUCUUUCGUCCAGAAUUCCAAGUAAUAGCUGCUGUUUGGAUGAUGAAUGCUGGAUGAUGAAUGCCUGGCCCCCGAAAGAGGGCCACGGUUCUGGUCUGAUGGCCAUUGCCUGCCAACACAUUCUCCAAAUUCUCCUUUGCCAUUUCACCUUGAAGUCAUGGCAGCACCAUCACUUGGAACCGCUUCUUGCAGAUUCCUCCAUUGAGCAAUUCUGACAUCAAAAUUUCCUUCCCACCAAUUUCCAGCAACCGUGCACUCAGCAGCACUGGAUGAACGGAUGGGAGACUGAUUCUUCUUGUCUUGCACAUAUACUGCAUCGGUUCGUAAGAGAGAAUCCCAGCCUUCUUAAGUCUGUUGGGUAAGUAAAUGGCUGCACAUAGCAAGGCAGGCACACCAUUUAGCUCUAGGCAGCGCAUCAUUUUUCCAUAUUUUGUACCAAAUGGAAGUAAUCUCUUUGCGAAGGUGCACUAAAUCAUAGAUGUCCCGCUGACUGACCGCCGCAUUGCUGCGAUUAUCGAGCAUUAGGACGUCAGUCUCUUGGGAAAAGUUAGUGUGUUGGAUAACCUGGUUGAUCCGCGGGGAGUGAAUGUUGCAA
Molecule: RNA transcript, 3418 nt
Organism: Nymphaea colorata (pocket water lily)
Lineage: Eukaryota; Viridiplantae; Streptophyta; Magnoliopsida; Nymphaeales; Nymphaeaceae
Gene name: cinnamoyl-CoA reductase 1-like
Exons: 7
Source: RefSeq, a predicted model, not a curated record